This 337-nucleotide ribosomal RNA is filed under the name Chryseobacterium sp. F2-3-6. RNAcentral describes it as "bacterial SSU rRNA". It matches the Rfam family "Bacterial small subunit ribosomal RNA", at positions 50 to 395 of the family's 1533-position model. The record is from RNAcentral. Lineage: Bacteria; Pseudomonadati; Bacteroidota; Flavobacteriia; Flavobacteriales; Weeksellaceae.
CACAAUGCAGCCGAGCGGUAGAGUCUCUUCGGAGCCUUGAGAGCGGCGCAGGGGUGCGGACAGUGUGCAACCUGACUUUGUCUGGGGGAUAGCCUUUCGAAAGGAAGAUUAAUACCCCAUAAUAUAUUGAUUGGGUCAAUCGAUAUUGAAAACUCCGGUGGAUAGAGAUGGGCACGCGCAAGAUUAGAUAGUUGGUGAGGUAACGGCUCACCAAGUCUGCGAUCUUUAGGGGGCCUGACAGGGUGAUCCCCCACACUGGUACUGAGACACGGACCACACUCCUACGGGAGGCAGCCUGAGGAAUAUUGGACAAUGGGUGAGAGCCUGAUCCAGCCAU